ACAGGUGGUGGCAUGGUUGUCGUCAGCUCGUGUCGUGAGAUGUGGUUAAGUCCCGCAACGAGCGCAACCCCUAUUGUUAGUUGCCAUCAUUCAGUUGGGCACUCUAGCGAGACUGCCGGUAAUAAACCGGAGGAAGGUGGGGAUGACGUCAAAUCAUCAUGCCCCUUAUGACCUGGGCUACACACGUGCUACAAUGGUUGGUACAACGAGUUGCGAGUCGGUGACGGCGAGCUAAUCUCUUAAAGCCAAUCUCAGUUCGGAUUGUAGGCUGCAACUCGCCUACAUGAAGUCGGAAUCGCUAGUAAUCGCGGAUCAGCACGCCGCGGUGAAUACGUUCCCGGGCCUU
This 346-nucleotide ribosomal RNA is filed under the name uncultured Streptococcus sp. RNAcentral describes it as "bacterial SSU rRNA". It matches the Rfam family "Bacterial small subunit ribosomal RNA", at positions 1034 to 1382 of the family's 1533-position model. Lineage: Bacteria; Bacillati; Bacillota; Bacilli; Lactobacillales; Streptococcaceae. The record is from RNAcentral.